RNAcentral lists this transfer RNA (73 nucleotides) under Candidatus Woesearchaeota archaeon. RNAcentral's name for it is "tRNA-Gln". It matches the Rfam family "tRNA". Rfam says of the family: Transfer RNA (tRNA) molecules are approximately 80 nucleotides in length. Their secondary structure includes four short double-helical elements and three loops (D, anti-codon, and T loops). Lineage: Archaea; Nanobdellati; Candidatus Woesearchaeota. The record is from RNAcentral.
AGCCCCGUAGUGUAGCGGUCAAGCACGAGGGACUCUGGAUCCUUCAACCCAGGUUCGAAUCCUGGCGGGGCUA